This 87-nucleotide ribosomal RNA is filed under the name Stagonosporopsis cucurbitacearum. RNAcentral's name for it is "partial 18S ribosomal RNA". Lineage: Eukaryota; Fungi; Ascomycota; Dothideomycetes; Pleosporales; Didymellaceae. The record is from RNAcentral.
UGUCUUUUGAGUACCUUCGUUUCCUCGGUGGGUUCGCCCGCCGAUUGGACAACACUUAAACCCUUUGUAAUUGAAAUCAGCGUCUGA